AUCACACCUGCGUUCCCGCGCUGGAAGACAUUGCCUCGGGCCGUCACUGCUUCGAUCUAUACUCGGCACAUCGCCCAGUAUACCACGAGUUCCCUUAUCUUGGUAAGCACAGCGUCCUUUUCUUCCUCAAGGCAACAUGAAGAGCCAAGUUUUCGCCAUCUUCCUGAUUCUCUGCUUCACCUCCAUCAAGGUGAACGCUAACGAGGACGUGGACGCCAUCAUCAAGGCCCUGAAGAUCUUCGUUGAAGGCCUCCAUCUUGACGAGAAGGAGUCUCAGGAGAUCCUCAGCAAGAUAAGCACAGCGCAAGAGAACUGCCUGUCCGAAGCCGACAACAUAAACCUCGGAAAUCGUCAAGGAGCUUGCUUUGGGGUUCGUUCCGGCCGUAAUGGAGUGCCGUGGCAGCGUCGCCCAUGAUGAGGAUCCUCAUGAAAGACUAACAGAAAUCGUCGACUGCGUAAAAGAGAAGGCGAACGAAUACGAGGCGUCCAGUGCUAUGACAGAGGAGGAACAGCAGAAGUUUGAGAGUGCCUUGGAGUGCCUCGAAAAUUUAGUGAAGGAGUAGUGUGAUCUCCACAGAAAUAAAGCGCAGCUGAAAAACUGCUGCGUCAGUAGGACAGGCAGCAGCAUCUCAGCAAGCUUUACGAAGUGCAGGACGAAAUAAACGUGAGAAAAAUGAAUGAA
Long non-coding RNA from Rhipicephalus microplus (southern cattle tick), 682 nucleotides. NCBI's taxonomy places the organism in Eukaryota, Metazoa, Arthropoda, Arachnida, Ixodida, Ixodidae. The record is from RefSeq and is a predicted model, not a curated record.